This 376-nucleotide unclassified non-coding RNA is filed under the name uncultured Gammaproteobacteria bacterium. Its description in RNAcentral is "contains 16S-23S intergenic spacer region". The record is from RNAcentral. Lineage: Bacteria; Pseudomonadati; Pseudomonadota; Gammaproteobacteria.
UCCGGUUUGUCACCGGCAGUCUCAUUAGAGUGCCCAACUAAAUGUAGCAACUAAUGACAAGGGUUGCGCUCGUUGCGGGACUUAACCCAACAUCUCACGACACGAGCUGACGACAGCCAUGCAGCACCUGUGUUCUGGCUCUCUUUCGAGCACUCCUGCAUCUCUGCGGGAUUCCAGACAUGUCAAGGGUAGGUAAGGUUAUUCGCGUUGCAUCGAAUUAAUCCACAUCAUCCACCGCUUGUGCGGGUCCCCGUCAAUUCCUUUGAGUUUUAAUCUUGCGACCGUACUCCCCAGGCGGACAACUUCACGCGUUAGCUGCGGUACUGAGAAAUCGCUUCCCCAACACCUAGUUGUCAUCGUUUAGGGCGUGGACUAC